AAUUACUGUCGUCAUGCCUAUUUGGAUGGCCUAGCGCGAGACAAUGUGUCACUCACGCCGCCACGCGACGAAUACCGGUAACUCGAUAACCGAGUGCGAUCAGCUUUUGCUCUCUCAGUUCUGUAUGAUGCGUUCUCGGUUUUUUUUAUUGUUUUAUUUCGGUUGUUUUGCUGAUUCGAUUCGAUACCAAGUAUUUUUGUUUCGAUACCGAGUAUGUAUCGCAAAAUUGAUUCGAUACAAUAAAUACUUGGUAUCGGGUACCUACUCGUAUUUACUAGCAUCGGAUUAUCGUGAGAUCAUGAGAUCGCUCUUCCGACCUAGUUUGUUCGCGAACUACACAAGACUAUCAGUUUCUGUCUUUUGUGACUAUUUCUGCAAGUCGGUCGAAGAUCUUUGUAAUUUAGUUUUUACGCUUUGUAGCGUUUUGUAGAAUAGAUCUUAAAAAAAUUCUCACUUCACAAAAAAACUUGCCAUCAAUAGUGUAUGGUCAUUUGUGUAAAUCAGUUCAAAGAAUAGUUUUAAGACAUUUUUGUACUGUUUUAAACAUACUUUUGAGUAUUCACCUCUUCCGCUACCAGGACAAGAGCAUUUUGUUAGAAAUUCGCUGGUAAAAAAUACAUAGUUGAUAUGCGCAGUUUUAAGGUUAUUCCUGGUUGGCAUACGAUUACUAUUUAAUUAUUCUUCUUUCAUUUUGCCGUCGUUUAAUAUUGCCUCUAAAUUGGAUAGUUCUUCGGAAGUGUGUACGAGUUUUAAACAAAAUGUAGUAUUCUCUUGUGUUUUCUUCAAGCUGGUUAUUAUCAAGUUAUGUAAUAAUGAAAAUGAAAAGAAAGGGUUGUGCCUACCUCUAUUUCUAACACAGACUCUCAUUCUACGUCGCAGACCAGUCUUGACCACCUUACUUGUCAAUUGGGCCCUUAUUUGAUUUUUCGCAUCAAUAUUUUUUUCUUGCAGGAUACCACGGUUGGUAUAGGAUGGCAUUCUUGUACACAAUUGUUUUCAUAUGGCCCCACACAUAAAAAUCAAUUGGUUUCAAAUCCGAGGUUCUUGUUGCGGGCCAUGGUACGGGACUUCCUCUUCCUAUCCAUUAUUCUGAUGAUUUUGAUCACCUCUUCGAUAUUGCUCAGGGCAGCCAUCGUGUUGAAACCACAUGUUUCUUCUUACACUAAGGUAAAUCCUCCAUAAGCAAUAAUAGUUCGUUGAAAAUGUUCAUAAAACACGCCAUUUAAAUUAGCUAUACUUAUAAUCUCCCAUACAACAAACGUAAUUUUUUUGUCCGUUUUAUAAAUCGGUACGGAACUUGCUUCUUUAAUUGUUUUUCUCUUCUCUUGUCAACAUAUUGAUUGGAUGUUAACGCAAAUGUAGUUCGCUCAAUUUGGCGCCUUCCUUGUCGUUUGGAAAAAUCGGGCAACUUUUGUUUCAAUAAUUCUGUACUUACAUUAAAUAUAUUUCCAAAAUAUCUAUCAGGUGAUUAGUGAUCGAUACUGAUGCCAAAAAUGCAAUCAGUAAAAUUUUUGUCUGUCUGUAUGUUCGUUAGAGAAACAAAAACUACUCGACGGAUUUUAAUGAAACUUGGCACAAAUAUUCUUCAUACUCCUGGGCAGGUUGUAUAAUACUUUUCAUCACGCUACGAUUAAUAGGAGCAGAGCAGUGAAGAGAAAUGUUGGGAAAACGGGAAAAGUUACUCCAUUUUUUAAGCUUCCGUCGCGUGUGCAGCCUUAAUGGUUAAAGCUAUAUAGAAACCACGUAUGACGGAAAUGGUCUCCUUUAAAUUAUGUGAAAAAUAUCCCACGACAGUAUAUGUCUCUUAUGGUUGACUCACAAUAACACGUGUAACUUCCGAUUGCUAAGCAGUUCAGAGCUUUCUGAUUAUAUUUGUCUACUCUGACGUUUAUAACACUCUCACUCAUCCCAAUAGGCUAGGUAAGCAUAGAUUUAUAUAAUUGGAGAAGCUGGUGAUUAUUAUUUCUUCCUCUCUUUGCAUAAAGUCCAAAUCUAACGCGGACGAAGUCGCUGGCAGAAGCUAGUCAGGCAUAAAGUAUGGUCCAAUUAAAUACUUGUCGAUAAUGCCCAUCCACACAUUUAAACUGAACCUCCACUGAGAGCCUUUUACUCGCUUUUUAUUCGGGUUUCCUUCUGCUUUUGGUGCCCAGUAGUGAGCGUUAUGGUAAUUGGUUAUACCGUCCUUGUCAAAUUUGGACUCGUCAGUCCAUUUUUUUGACAUUGAGGAUUUUCAGUAUCGGCGUUCAACAUAAAUCGACAAAAAUCCAAUCUUCUCAAUGGUUCUGCACACAUUAUUACCAUGAUGCACUAUUUAAAGUGGAAUUUAACAAUUCAUGUGUUUGGAUUGUGUGAGUUUUUAAUUAGUAGGUAGAAAUUGGUGCAGAAGACUCCAGUCGGCAGUUCAACCCUGAUCUUCAACGGGGAAGACAACUGCAACGGGCGCUUGCUUGUUAAGAAGUUGUGGAGGGAACAAAAUGCUUGAUUUUUUUUUAUAAUAUAAAACAACGAACAUCAGUCCAUUGGUUUAUACGACUCUUUCUUUUCUUACCCGGAUCUUGCUUAAGGGUCCUUAUUCUGCUGACUGUGUAGUUAUUGGAUGUUUCUGGUUCAGAUGCUGAUGCUGAUAUCGAAGAAUUUACACUUGGAAUGUCACAAGGUUCUUGAACAUCGUUGUCACAAAAUUGUUCGGUUGGGCUUAUUGGGCAAUCAAAAUCUUGAAUAGAGUUAGGAGAUGGAACCGGAGUACAUUCAUUACUAUCAAAAAUAACGAUAUCAGAAUCAUUAUGAACAAUAUUUCCAUCAACUGCAUCAUUUUCAUUGUAAAUGUCAUUCAAAUAUCUCCACUCCUCGUCGGUGAAUUGACACUGCAUUAGAGAUUCUGAAAAUACAAAAAAAAUAAAAUAAUAAUACAACAUAAUAUCGAAAAUGCAGGGCUAUUACACUGUCGUAGUAAAGUAUCGAAAGUGGUACAUUCGAUAGUCAUAGCAGAAAAAAGUAGUUUUUCAAAUCGAACCAGUAGUUCCUGAGAUUAGCGCGUUCAAACAAACAAACAAACUCUUCAGCUUUAUAAUAUUAGUAUAGAUUAAAUAAUUACUUACCUAUCUGGUUCUUUACAUCAGGAGCAAAAUUAUCAUAGUCUGGAAAUAAAAUUUUGGCAAUUUGCUCCCACGCUUUUA
Molecule: long non-coding RNA, 3176 nt
Organism: Helicoverpa armigera (cotton bollworm)
Lineage: Eukaryota; Metazoa; Arthropoda; Insecta; Lepidoptera; Noctuidae
Exons: 2
Source: RefSeq, a predicted model, not a curated record